Molecule: ribosomal RNA, 495 nt
Filed under: uncultured bacterium
Lineage: Bacteria
Description: partial 16S ribosomal RNA
Rfam family: Bacterial small subunit ribosomal RNA
Source: RNAcentral
GACGAACGCUGGCGGCGUGCCUAAUACAUGCAAGUAGAACGCUGAAGGAGGAGCUUGCUUCUCUGGAUGAGUUGCGAACGGGUGAGUAACGCGUAGGUAACCUGCCUGGUAGCGGGGGAUAACUAUUGGAAACGAUAGCUAAUACCGCAUAAUAGUAGAUGUCGCAUGACAUUUGCUUAAAAGGUGCAAUUGCAUCACUACCAGAUGGACCUGCGUUGUAUUAGCUAGUUGGUGAGGUAACGGCUCACCAAGGCAACGAUACAUAGCCGACCUGAGAGGGUGAUCGGCCACACUGGGACUGAGACACGGCCCAGACUCCUGCGGGAGGCAGCAGUAGGGAAUCUUCGGCAAUGGACGGAAGUCUGACCGAGCAACGCCGCGUGAGUGAAGAAGGUUUUCGGAUCGUAAAGCUCUGUUGUAAGAGAAGAACGAGUGUGAGAGUGGAAAGUUCACACUGUGACGGUAGCUUACCAGAAAGGGACGGCUAACUACGUG